RNAcentral lists this long non-coding RNA (1199 nucleotides) under Marmota monax (woodchuck). Lineage: Eukaryota; Metazoa; Chordata; Mammalia; Rodentia; Sciuridae. The record is from RNAcentral.
CCCCAGCCCUUUUAUUUACUCAUCUGCUGAGGGACAUGGUUCCUUCGGUUUGAGAUGUUGUGAUUAAUGCUGCUGUGAACACAGAUGCACAAAUAUGUAAGGUCCUGCUUUCAGUUCUUUAGGGCAUAUACCCGGGCCUGGGAUUCCUGGGUCAUACAAUAAUUCUAUUUUUACUUUUUUGAGGAAUGAUGUGUGGUUGUUCAUAGAAGUUGGACCAUUUCAUAUUUGCACUAGUAGUGCACGAAGGCUCUCAUACCUGCAUGUCCUCACCAGCUCUUAGUAUUUUGUUUUUUGAAUAGUAGCCAUCACAAUGGAUGUGCAGUGAUAUUACAUUAUAGUUUUUGCUUCAUAUAUCAUCAUAGUCUGUCAUUAUAUGUGUGUGUGUGUGUGUGUGUGUAUAUAUAUUCUAUAUUCUUGCUGUUCUGAAUCCUUUAUUAGUGUACCAUGUCCUGGUUGUACUUGUAAUGUUUUUUCUUUUCUUUCUUUCUUUUUUGGCAUUUGGCACUGUGCUGGGGAUUCGACCCAGGGGUGUUCAACUACUGAGCUACAUCCCCAGCCCUUUUUAUUUUAUUGUUUUGAGACAGAGUCUCACUAAAUCACUGAGGAUGGCUUUGAACUUGUGAUCCUCCUGUCCCAGCCUCCUAAGUCACUGUGUCCCAGGUGUGUGCCAUUACACCUAGCUUUUGUAAUCCUUUUUGAUUCAAAGUCUGACCUAGCGCUGGGGAUGUAGCUCAAUAGUAGAGUGCGUCCCUGGCAUGUGGGUUCCAUCCUCAGUACCUGGGGCAAAAAAAAAGAAAGAAAGGAACCAAUCCCCUUUUGUCUGAUAUUCUUCUAGCUCUCCCUGUUUGCUGGGGUACCAUUUGCAUGGAUAUAUUUUCCCAUCUCUUCACUUUCAGUCUGUGUCUUUGGAUCUGAAGUGACUCUCCUCUGGAUGGCAUUGUUGGAUUAUGCACUCUUGCUUAUUCUGCCAGUAUCUGUGUUUUGAUAGUAGCAUUUAUUCCAAAAUGCAUUAGUCUCUUAAAUUAUGUAGGAAAAAGAUAUGAGUUGAAACCAAAGUUACAAUAGCAUCAGCUUUUAGGCUAAUUGUUUUCUAAAGGUGAAUAGGCUCUUAAACCACGUAGAAAGCAAACAUUGGGGUUAUAAACCUCUGUCACAGACAGUUGUGGUUUUUUUUAACAUUUUUUUAAAUUGUAUUUGGC